Molecule: ribosomal RNA, 2753 nt
Filed under: Escherichia coli
Lineage: Bacteria; Pseudomonadati; Pseudomonadota; Gammaproteobacteria; Enterobacterales; Enterobacteriaceae
Description: partial 23S ribosomal RNA
Rfam family: Bacterial large subunit ribosomal RNA
Source: RNAcentral
CAUAGGUUAAUGAGGCGAACCGGGGGAACUGAAACAUCUAAGUACCCCGAGGAAAAGAAAUCAACCGAGAUUCCCCCAGUAGCGGCGAGCGAACGGGGAGGAGCCCAGAGCCUGAAUCAGUGUGUGUGUUAGUGGAAGCGUCUGGAAAGGCGUGCGAUACAGGGUGACAGCCCCGUACACAAAAAUGCACAUAUUGUGAGCUCGAUGAGUAGGGCGGGACACGUGGUAUCCUGUCUGAAUAUGGGGGGACCAUCCUCCAAGGCUAAAUACUCCUGACUGACCGAUAGUGAACCAGUACCGUGAGGGAAAGGCGAAAAGAACCCCGGCGAGGGGAGUGAAAAAGAACCUGAAACCGUGUACGUACAAGCAGUGGGAGCCUCUUAAUGGGGUGACUGCGUACCUUUUGUAUAAUGGGUCAGCGACUUAUAUUCUGUAGCAAGGUUAACCGAAUAGGGGAGCCGAAGGGAAACCGAGUCUUAACUGGGCGUUAAGUUGCAGGGUAUAGACCCGAAACCCGGUGAUCUAGCCAUGGGCAGGUUGAAGGUUGGGUAACACUAACUGGAGGACCGAACCGACUAAUGUUGAAAAAUUAGCGGAUGACUUGUGGCUGGGGGUGAAAGGCCAAUCAAACCGGGAGAUAGCUGGUUCUCCCCGAAAGCUAUUUAGGUAGCGCCUCGUGAAUUCAUCUCCGGGGGUAGAGCACUGUUUCGGCAAGGGGGUCAUCCCGACUUACCAACCCGAUGCAAACUGCGAAUACCGGAGAAUGUUAUCACGGGAGACACACGGCGGGUGCUAACGUCCGUCGUGAAGAGGGAAACAACCCAGACCGCCAGCUAAGGUCCCAAAGUCAUGGUUAAGUGGGAAACGAUGUGGGAAGGCCCAGACAGCCAGGAUGUUGGCUUAGAAGCAGCCAUCAUUUAAAGAAAGCGUAAUAGCUCACUGGUCGAGUCGGCCUGCGCGGAAGAUGUAACGGGGCUAAACCAUGCACCGAAGCUGCGGCAGCGACACUAUGUGUUGUUGGGUAGGGGAGCGUUCUGUAAGCCUGUGAAGGUGGCCUGUGAGGGUUGCUGGAGGUAUCAGAAGUGCGAAUGCUGACAUAAGUAACGAUAAAGCGGGUGAAAAGCCCGCUCGCCGGAAGACCAAGGGUUCCUGUCCAACGUUAAUCGGGGCAGGGUGAGUCGACCCCUAAGGCGAGGCCGAAAGGCGUAGUCGAUGGGAAACAGGUUAAUAUUCCUGUACUUGGUGUUACUGCGAAGGGGGGACGGAGAAGGCUAUGUUGGCCGGGCGACGGUUGUCCCGGUUUAAGCGUGUAGGCUGGUUUUCCAGGCAAAUCCGGAAAACCAAGGCUGAGGCGUGAUGACGAAGCACUACGGUGCUGAAGCGACAAAUGCCCUGCUUCCAGGAAAAGCCUCUAAGCAUCAGGUAACAUCAAAUCGUACCCCAAACCGACACAGGUGGUCAGGUAGAGAAUACCAAGGCGCUUGAGAGAACUCGGGUGAAGGAACUAGGCAAAAUGGUGCCGUAACUUCGGGAGAAGGCACGCUGAUAUGUAGGUGAAGCGACUUGCUCGUGGAGCUGAAAUCAGUCGAAGAUACCAGCUGGCUGCAACUGUUUAUUAAAAACACAGCACUGUGCAAACACGAAAGUGGACGUAUACGGUGUGACGCCUGCCCGGUGCCGGAAGGUUAAUUGAUGGGGUUAGCGGUAACGCGAAGCUCUUGAUCGAAGCCCCGGUAAACGGCGGCCGUAACUAUAACGGUCCUAAGGUAGCGAAAUUCCUUGUCGGGUAAGUUCCGACCUGCACGAAUGGCGUAAUGAUGGCCAGGCUGUCUCCACCCGAGACUCAGUGAAAUUGAACUCGCUGUGAAGAUGCAGUGUACCCGCGGCAAGACGGAAAGACCCCGUGAACCUUUACUAUAGCUUGACACUGAACAUUGAGCCUUGAUGUGUAGGAUAGGUGGGAGGCUUUGAAGUGUGGACGCCAGUCUGCAUGGAGCCGACCUUGAAAUACCACCCUUUAAUGUUUGAUGUUCUAACGUUGGCCCGUAAUCCGGGUUGCGGACAGUGUCUGGUGGGUAGUUUGACUGGGGCGGUCUCCUCCUAAAGAGUAACGGAGGAGCACGAAGGUUGGCUAAUCCUGGUCGGACAUCAGGAGGUUAGUGCAAUGGCAUAAGCCAGCUUGACUGCGAGCGUGACGGCGCGAGCAGGUGCGAAAGCAGGUCAUAGUGAUCCGGUGGUUCUGAAUGGAAGGGCCAUCGCUCAACGGAUAAAAGGUACUCCGGGGAUAACAGGCUGAUACCGCCCAAGAGUUCAUAUCGACGGCGGUGUUUGGCACCUCGAUGUCGGCUCAUCACAUCCUGGGGCUGAAGUAGGUCCCAAGGGUAUGGCUGUUCGCCAUUUAAAGUGGUACGCGAGCUGGGUUUAGAACGUCGUGAGACAGUUCGGUCCCUAUCUGCCGUGGGCGCUGGAGAACUGAGGGGGGCUGCUCCUAGUACGAGAGGACCGGAGUGGACGCAUCACUGGUGUUCGGGUUGUCAUGCCAAUGGCACUGCCCGGUAGCUAAAUGCGGAAGAGAUAAGUGCUGAAAGCAUCUAAGCACGAAACUUGCCCCGAGAUGAGUUCUCCCUGAGACUUAGAGUCUCCUGAAGGAACGUUGAAGACGACGACGUUGAUAGGCCGGGUGUGUAAGCGCAGCGAUGCGUUGAGCUAACCGGUACUAAUGAACCGUGAGGCUUAACCUUACAACGCCGAAG